This 730-nucleotide ribosomal RNA is filed under the name Ephippion guttifer (prickly puffer). RNAcentral describes it as "partial 16S ribosomal RNA". It matches the Rfam family "Bacterial large subunit ribosomal RNA", at positions 712 to 1888 of the family's 2925-position model. Lineage: Eukaryota; Metazoa; Chordata; Actinopteri; Tetraodontiformes; Tetraodontidae. The record is from RNAcentral.
UCCCGAAAUUGAACGAGCUCCUCCAAGACACCGCUAACAUAGGGCAUACUCCGUCUCUGUGGCAAAAGAGUGGAAAGAGCUUCGAGUAGAGGUGAUAAGCCUACCGAGUCCAGUAAUAGCUGGUUGCCCGAGAACCGAGUUUAAGCUCAGCUUUUUAACUUCUUAACUCACCAACUGUAGAAACCAAGCCGACUCCAAGAAAUUAAAAAAGUUAAUCAAAGGGGGUACAGCUCCUUUGAUCAAAGAAACAACUUUCACAGGUGAAUAAGGAUCAUAAUUACCAAGGCCAUGUGUUUAGGUGGGCCUAAAAGCAGCCACCCUGUAGAAAGCGCUUCUAGCUCGAACACACCCCUGCCACCAAUACCGAUAAUACAUCCUAAUCCCUGACUUAUAUCGGGCCUCUCUAUGCCCCCAUAGAAGAGAUUAUGCUAAUAUGAGUAAUAAGGGGCCCUUGACCCCCUCCAAGCACAAGUGUACAUCGGAACGAACCCCCACCGAAACCCAACGGACCCAGCCAAAGAGGGCAAUGAAUAUCAAACCAAACAACCAGAAAACAUUCACCACCCAGACCGUUAACCCCACACUGGUGUGCUCAACCGGAAAGACUUAAAGAAAAAGAAGGAACUCGGCAAACCCACAAGCCUCGCCUGUUUACCAAAAACAUCGCCUCUUGCUAAAAACAACGAAUAAGAGGUCCCGCCUGCCCUGUGAUAUACGGUAACGUCCCCGU